CUCGCGUGUCGUGCCAGCAGCCGCGGUAAUACAGAGGGUGCAAGCGUUAAUCGGAAUUACUGGGCGUAAAGCGCGCGUAGGUGGUUCGUUAAGUUGGAUGUGAAAUCCCCGGGCUCAACCUGGGAACUGCAUUCAAAACUGUCGAGCUAGAGUAUGGUAGAGGGUGGUGGAAUUUCCUGUGUAGCGGUGAAAUGCGUAGAUAUAGGAAGGAACACCAGUGGCGAAGGCGACCACCUGGACUGAUACUGACACUGAGGUGCGAAAGCGUGGGGANCAAACAGGAUUAGAUACCCUGGUAGUCCACGCCGUAAACGAUGUCAACUAGCCGUU
RNAcentral lists this ribosomal RNA (330 nucleotides) under uncultured bacterium. Its description in RNAcentral is "bacterial SSU rRNA". It matches the Rfam family "Bacterial small subunit ribosomal RNA", at positions 493 to 824 of the family's 1533-position model. The record is from RNAcentral.